UCUGCCCGCUGGCGGCGUGCCUAAUACAUGCAAGUCGAGCGAACAGACGAGGAGCUUGCUCCUCUGACGUUAGCGGCGGACGGGUGAGUAACACGUGGAUAACCUACCUAUAAGACUGGGAUAAAUUCGGGAAACCGGAGCUAAUACCGGAUAAUAUAUUGAACCGCAUGGUUCAAUAGUGAAAGACGGUUUUGCUGUCACUUAUAGAUGGAUCCGCGCCGCAUUAGCUAGUUGGUAAGGUAACGGCUUACCAAGGCAACGAUGCGUAGCCGACCUGAGAGGGGGAUCGGCCACACUGGAACGGGGACACGGUCCAGACUCCUACGGGAGGCAGCAGUAGGGAAUCUUCCGCAAUGGGCGAAAGCAUGACGGAGCAACGCCGAGUGAGUGAUGAAGGUCUUCGGAUCGUAAAACUCUUUUAUUAGGGAAGAACAAAUGUGUAAGUAACUAUGCACGUCUUGACGGUACCUAAUAAGAAAGCCACGGCUAACUACGUG
This 497-nucleotide ribosomal RNA is filed under the name uncultured bacterium. RNAcentral describes it as "partial 16S ribosomal RNA". It matches the Rfam family "Bacterial small subunit ribosomal RNA", at positions 34 to 507 of the family's 1533-position model. The record is from RNAcentral.